RNAcentral lists this ribosomal RNA (495 nucleotides) under uncultured bacterium. RNAcentral describes it as "bacterial SSU rRNA". It matches the Rfam family "Bacterial small subunit ribosomal RNA", at positions 36 to 507 of the family's 1533-position model. The record is from RNAcentral.
CUGGCGGCGUGCUUAACACAUGCAAGUCGAACGGGGCGAAGUGAUAGCUUGCUAUUAUGGAGCCUAGUGGGCAAACGGGGUGAGUAACGCGUAGGCAACCUGCCCUUCAGAUGGGGACAACACCUCGAAAGGGGUGCUAAUACCGAAUGACGUUUCCUGGUCGCAUGACCUGGAAACCAAAGGCCGGGCAACCGGUCACUGAAGGAUGGGCCUGCGUCUGAUUAGCUAGUUGGUGGGGUAACGGCCCACCAAGGCGACGAUCAGUAGCCGGUCUGAGAGGAUGAACGGCCACAUUGGGACUGAGACACGGCCCAAACUCCUACGGGAGGCAGCAGUGGGGAAUCUUCCGCAAUGGGCGCAAGCCUGACGGAGCAACGCCGCGUGAGUGAAGAAGGUUUUCGGAUCGUAAAGCUCUGUUGAGAGGGACGAGAGAUAUAAUCAGGAAAUGGGUUAUAGAGGACGGUACCUUUCGAGGAAGCCACGGCUAACUACGUG